UUGUAAAGCACUUUAAGCGAGGAGGAGGCUACCUAGAUUAAUACUUUAGGAUAGUGGACGUUACUCGCAGAAUAAGCACCGGCUAACUCUGUGCCAGCAGCCGCGGUAAUACAGAGGGUGCGAGCGUUAAUCGGAUUUACUGGGCGUAAAGCGUGCGUAGGCGGCCAAUUAAGUCAAAUGUGAAAUCCCCGAGCUUAACUUGGGAAUUGCAUUCGAUACUGGUUGGCUAGAGUAUGGGAGAGGAUGGUAGAAUUCCAGGUGUAGCGGUGAAAUGCGUAGAGAUCUGGAGGAAUACCGAUGGCGAAGGCAGCCAUCUGGCCUAAUACUGACGCUGAGGUACGAAAGCAUGGGGAGCAAACAGGAUUAGAUACCCUGGUAGUCCAUGCCGUAAACGAUGUCUACUAGCCGUUGGGGCCCUUGAGGCUUUAGUGGCGCAGCUAACGCGAUAAGUAGACCGCCUGGGGAGUACGGUCGCAAGACUAAAACUCAAAUGAAUUGACGGGGGCCCGCACAAGCGGUGGGAGCAUGUGGUUUAAUUCGAUGCAACGCGAAGAACCUUACCUGGNCUUGACAUACAGAGAACUUUCCAGAGAUGGAUUGGUGNCUUCGGGAACUCUGAUACAGGUGCUGCAUGGCUGUCGNCAGCUCGUGNCGUGAGAUGUUGGGUUAAGUCCCNCAACNAGCGCAACCCUUUUUCCUUAUUUGCCA
Molecule: ribosomal RNA, 708 nt
Filed under: Acinetobacter sp. ST-FER-2
Lineage: Bacteria; Pseudomonadati; Pseudomonadota; Gammaproteobacteria; Moraxellales; Moraxellaceae
Description: bacterial SSU rRNA
Rfam family: Bacterial small subunit ribosomal RNA
Source: RNAcentral